Molecule: long non-coding RNA, 184 nt
Organism: Sardina pilchardus (European sardine)
Lineage: Eukaryota; Metazoa; Chordata; Actinopteri; Clupeiformes; Clupeidae
Exons: 3
Source: RefSeq, a predicted model, not a curated record
AUGACAACCCUCCUCAGUUCACACACCUCCCUACUGGCAAAGAGCUCAAUUUACAGGUGUGGGCGGGUUUACCAGUGGGCUCAGUGAUCACCAGCAUGUUUGCUAAGGACCUGGAUGCAGGGGAAAACGGAACGGUCAAGUUCUCUCUGGAAACAGACCUGGACCACUUUGAGAUCGACCAGCG